This 94-nucleotide small nucleolar RNA is filed under the name Otolemur garnettii (small-eared galago). RNAcentral's name for it is "Small nucleolar RNA U3 (ENSOGAG00000022440.1)". Lineage: Eukaryota; Metazoa; Chordata; Mammalia; Primates; Galagidae. The record is from RNAcentral.
AAGACUACACUUUCAGGGAUCAUUUCUAUAGUUCGUUACAAAUUGAUGAAGGGGUGCAAGGCGAGAACUAGAGUAAGGGCCCCCCCAAACUCUG